GAUGAACGCUGGCGGCGUGCCUAAUACAUGCAAGUCGAGCGAACAGACGAGGAGCUUGCUCCUCUGACGUUAGCGGCGGACGGGUGAGUAACACGUGGAUAACCUACCUAUAAGACUGGGAUAACUUCGGGAAACCGGAGCUAAUACCGGAUAAUAUAUUGAACCGCAUGGUUCAAUAGUGAAAGACGGUUUUGCUGUCACUUAUAGAUGGAUCCGCGCCGCAUUAGCUAGUUGGUAAGGUAACGGCUUACCAAGGCAACGAUGCGUAGCCGACCUGAGCGGGUGGUCCGACACACGGUAACAGAGACACGGUACAGACUCCUACGGUGGGCAGCAGUAGGGAAUCUUACGCGAGGGGGGAGAGCCUGACGGAGCAACACCGCGUGAGUGAUGAAGGUCUUCGGAUCGUAGAACGCUGUUAUUAGGAAGGAACAAAUGCGUAAGUAACUAUGCACGUCUUGACGGUACCUAAUCAAAAAGCCACGGCUAACUACGUG
RNAcentral lists this ribosomal RNA (497 nucleotides) under uncultured bacterium. RNAcentral's name for it is "partial 16S ribosomal RNA". It matches the Rfam family "Bacterial small subunit ribosomal RNA", at positions 28 to 507 of the family's 1533-position model. The record is from RNAcentral.